This 497-nucleotide ribosomal RNA is filed under the name uncultured bacterium. RNAcentral's name for it is "partial 16S ribosomal RNA". It matches the Rfam family "Bacterial small subunit ribosomal RNA", at positions 28 to 507 of the family's 1533-position model. The record is from RNAcentral.
GAUGAACGCUGGCGGCGUGCCUAAUACAUGCAAGUCGAGCGAACGGACGAGAAGCUUGCUUUUCUGAUGUUAGCGGCGGACGGGUGAGUAACACGUGGAUAACCUACCUAUAAGACUGGGAUAACUUCGGGAAACCGGAGCUAAUACCGGAUAAUAUUUUGAACCGCAUGGUUCAAAAGUGAAAGACGGUCUUGCUGUCACUUAUAGAUGGAUCCGCGCUGCAUUAGCUAGUUGGUAAGGUAACGGCUUACCAAGGCAACGAUGCAUAGCCGACCUGAGAGGGUGAUCGGCCACACUGGAACUGAGACACGGUCCAGACUCCUACGGGAGGCAGCAGUAGGGAAUCCUCCGCAAUGGGCGAAAGCCUGACGGAGCAACGCCGCGUAAGUGAUGAAGGUCUUCGGAUCGUAAAACUCUGUUAUUAGGGAAGAACAUAUGUGUAAGUAACUGUGCACAUCUUGACGGUACCUAAUCAGAAAGCCACGGCUAACUACGUG